GGGUACCUGCGGAGGGAUCAUUGCUGGAACGCGCCCCAGGCGCACCCAGAAACCCUUUGUGAACUUAUACCUUACUGUUGCCUCGGCGCAUGCUGGCCCCCUCGGGGUCCCUUGGAGACAAGGAGCAGGCACGCCGGCGGCCAAGUUAACUCUUGUUUUUACACUGAAACUCUGAGAAAAAACACAAAUGAAUCAAAACUUUCAACAACGGAUCUCUUGGUUCUGGCAUCGAUGAAGAACGCAGCGAAAUGCGAUAAGUAAUGUGAAUUGCAGAAUUCAGUGAAUCAUCGAAUCUUUGAACGCACAUUGCGCCCUCUGGUAUUCCGGAGGGCAUGCCUGUUCGAGCGUCAUUUCAACCCUCAAGCAUUGCUUGGUGUUGGGGCACUGCCUGUAAAAGGGCAGGCCCUGAAAUCUAGUGGCGAGCUCGCCAGGACCCCGAGCGCAGUAGUUAAACCCUCGCUUUGGAAGGCCCUGGCGGUGCCCUGCCGUUAAACCCCCAACUUUUGAAAAUUUGACCUCGGAUCAGGUAGGAAUACCCGCUGAACUUAAGCAUAUCAAAA
RNAcentral lists this ribosomal RNA (560 nucleotides) under Diaporthe sp. Its description in RNAcentral is "eukaryotic LSU rRNA". The stretch from base 197 to 350 matches the Rfam family "5.8S ribosomal RNA". The record is from RNAcentral. Lineage: Eukaryota; Fungi; Ascomycota; Sordariomycetes; Diaporthales; Diaporthaceae.